Cyprinus carpio (common carp) is the source of this 1609-nucleotide long non-coding RNA. Lineage: Eukaryota; Metazoa; Chordata; Actinopteri; Cypriniformes; Cyprinidae. The record is from Ensembl.
AUGUUACAGUCAUCUGAUUGUUACACUGUAAACAGAGACACUCUCAGUAUUAAAGCACUGAAUGAGUCUGAUCUGGAUCAGUACUGGUGUAGAGGACAGAGAGAUGAGAGACCAAACUCAUCACAGGAGGGUAACCGAAUACAUCUGUCUGCUAAUGUCUCAGAUGCUUCAUCUUCUCUUCUGGUCACUGCUGUGGUUGUGGGAUCAAGUGUUUGCUUGUUGAUCUUCAUCUCACUGCUACUGCUGUGGAGAUACAAGAACAACAAAGAUCAGCAGCGUAACAUUAACCAGACAUCAGUCCCAAAUCAAUCUGCAGAAUCUCAACCAGAAAACUCUCCUCUACAGUCUGGUCCUGAUCACAUUUAUGACGACGUGACUGAAGUGAAGAAGAGACACAAAGAUGAUCCAGAGUCAUUUUUGGAGGUCACAUAUUCAGAGGUCUUAUGUUCAUAUUUGGAUAAAGAUGCUGAUGCUGGAGUUGGGAUGCAACUUAUGCUUCUGUUAGGAAGAAGGGUCCCUGAGUGCAGUGAAGAUAACAGACGGCUGAAAGAGAUUCACAGCAGCAGACAAGUAGCGCUUGCAUUGCUUAAAGGGGUCAUAGGAUGCUAAUUUCACUUUUAUAUGUUGUUUAACAUAAAUGUGUUUUGGCAGUGUGUGUACACAUCUACCCUAUAAUGAUAAAAUCCACACAGUGGUUUUAAUUUAAUCCCUAAAAGUAAUAUCCCCUUUUGCAAAUCAGGCCAUUCUCAGCUCCUUGUCUGUGUGACAUCACACGGAUGAAGGCCCCUCCCACGAUAGUUACCUUAGCUCCGCCCUGAGUGAGCUGUCAUCAGUCCAACAUUGUUUCACCGCUGGAGCAGAUGUAGACAAGAUUGUCUCCUAAGCGAUUGAGGUGUUUUGUUGUUGGAUGUAAUAAUGAACAUAGCAGUCGUCAUUUACACCCGACAUCUGAGCCGCUGAAGACGCAGUGGAUUAUGUUUGUUUCUGAAGGGAAUGUGCCCCGAUCAAACUAAAUGCGUUUAUGUUCGCGCAAAUCAUUCAUGAUCCAGCUUCACCAACAGAAGAAGUGAGUAUAUGGUUUUUUAUGAAUCUUUGCAAUCGAUGUUCCUAAUAAUGUGCUAGUUAGCAAGUUCUGCGGCUAGUAAACAGUCUUAGAGCAGGGUUCGUCACCUCACAGAAGAGAGGGGUGGGGUCAGCAAAGUAACGGGCGUGCUGUCUUUAACAGUUUUGAAAUAGGUUGAAUGCACGUCCAUUAACCCUUGUAUUUUCUGCGUUGUGNGACGUAUAAGGACGGAGUGGGGGAGGGAGCGAGGAGCGGAAAAUUUUACACCCAGAGCGGAGCUUGAGCAGAGUAAUUAUGAAAUACUUUGAGCGUGGAGCGCAAAUUCUUCCUGCUCAGCUCCGCUCACAUACUCUGGCUGAUACAGUUACCGCCUCAAACAACUCAGGAUGGGUGCCAGCAACUGUCUUUCCCAUUGGUCCGUCCCACAGCACAAGGUCCCCCACCGCGCGGAUUUUCUGCGGAGCCAGCUGGCCUUCCUUGUGACUUACAAGGAGGUGGAUCUCCCUUGGCCUUGCCAGGUCACUGAGUGGAAUGUCUGGGAAGAAC